GGAUCCUACGGGAGGCAGCAGUGGGGAAUAUUGGACAAUGGGCGCAAGCCUGAUCCAGCCAUGCCGCGUGAGUGAUGAAGGCCCUAGGGUUGUAAAGCUCUUUCACCGGUGAAGAUAAUGACGGUACCGAGAAGAGCC
Molecule: ribosomal RNA, 138 nt
Filed under: Brucella anthropi
Lineage: Bacteria; Pseudomonadati; Pseudomonadota; Alphaproteobacteria; Hyphomicrobiales; Brucellaceae
Description: Ochrobactrum anthropi partial 16S ribosomal RNA
Rfam family: Bacterial small subunit ribosomal RNA
Source: RNAcentral